CUGGCGGCGUGCUUAACACAUGCAAGUCGAACGGAAAGGCCCAGCUUGCUGGGUACUCGAGUGGCGAACGGGUGAGUAACACGUGGGUGAUCUGCCCCAAACUUCGGGAUAAGCCUGGGAAACUGGGUCUAAUACCGGAUAUGACCUGCUCCUGCAUGGGGGUUGGUGGAAAGCUUUUGCGGUUUGGGAUGGGCCCGCGGCCUAUCAGCUUGUUGGUGGGGUAAUGGCCUACCAAGGCGACGACGGGUAGCCGACCUGAGAGGGUGAUCGGCCACACUGGGACUGAGACACGGCCCAGACUCCUACGGGAGGCAGCAGUGGGGAAUAUUGCAUAAUGGGCGCAAGCCUGAUGCAGCGACGCCGCGUGAGGGAUGACGGCCUUCGGGUUGUAAACCUCUUUCGCCAGGGACGAAGCGCAAGUGACGGUACCUGGAGAAGAAGCACCGGCCAACUACGUG
This 458-nucleotide ribosomal RNA is filed under the name uncultured bacterium. RNAcentral describes it as "bacterial SSU rRNA". It matches the Rfam family "Bacterial small subunit ribosomal RNA", at positions 36 to 507 of the family's 1533-position model. The record is from RNAcentral.